UCUCAAGGACUCAUGCACAGGGACA
Molecule: non-coding RNA, 25 nt
Filed under: Cricetulus griseus (Chinese hamster)
Lineage: Eukaryota; Metazoa; Chordata; Mammalia; Rodentia; Cricetidae
Source: RNAcentral